Molecule: ribosomal RNA, 407 nt
Filed under: uncultured rumen bacterium
Lineage: Bacteria
Description: bacterial SSU rRNA
Rfam family: Bacterial small subunit ribosomal RNA
Source: RNAcentral
GUGGGGAAUAUUGGGCAAUGGGGGAAACCCUGACCCAGCAACGCCGCGUGGAGGAAGAAGGUCUUCGGAUCGUAAACUCCUGUCCUAAGAGACGAGCAGGAGACGGUAUCUUAGGAGGAAGCCCCGGCUAACUACGUGCCAGCAGCCGCGGUAAUACGUAGGGGGCAAGCGUUGUCCGGAAUGAUUGGGCGUAAAGGGCGCGUAGGCGGCCUUUCAAGUCUGAAGUGAAAUUCCCGUUUUUAAGAUGGGAACUGCUUUGGAAACUGUAAGGCUUGAGUGCAGGAGAGGUCAGUGGAAUUCCCAGUGUAGCGGUGAAAUGCGUAGAGAUUGGGAGGAACACCAGUGGCGAAGGCGACUGACUGGACUGUAACUGACGCUGAGGCGCGAAAGUGUGGGGAGCAAACAGG